GAGGUUGUGGCUCGGCGGUAGAGCGUUUGCCUAGCAUACAUGAGGCACUGGGUUUGAUACCCAGCACUACA
RNAcentral lists this transfer RNA (71 nucleotides) under Marmota monax (woodchuck). RNAcentral's name for it is "tRNA.Ala". Lineage: Eukaryota; Metazoa; Chordata; Mammalia; Rodentia; Sciuridae. The record is from RNAcentral.